GCCACUGCCCUGUGAGCUGUUUCUGCCUUAUUCUGCUUGCAUCUGAGCUGCUGAGCCUGGUUGGAGGAAACCACAACCGAGCAGACUGGGUUCCUUUGAAACUCCUGAUCUCAGAUCUCAGGAGGAGUCCCGAUACUGCCUGACCAUCUGGCCACACUUCUCAUUCUGGUGUCAGAAGUGGAGACCCCCGAUGGACCCUUUGAGCCCCUAGGAGACCCCUUAGGAGCAACAAGCAAUGAGCAGGCAGAAGGGAAUGGCUCAUUCCACAUCUAUACAAGUGAAGAGCUCUGGAAACCCUUGGAUGCCCUGGAAAGAGCUACAUAGAUUGCAAAGCAGUAGCAAGAUUCUUAAUUCUUAACGUGCACAGAGUUGACUGACCAAAUUAACCCAUGGUCUUAAUUUUUGUAGAACAUACUGAUGAUACCCCUUGCCCACAUAGGCUGGGUUUUAGUAUACACACUCACAUUUGCUCCCACCAGAUCUGUUAGU
Molecule: long non-coding RNA, 489 nt
Organism: Manis pentadactyla (Chinese pangolin)
Lineage: Eukaryota; Metazoa; Chordata; Mammalia; Pholidota; Manidae
Exons: 3
Source: RefSeq, a predicted model, not a curated record